CAUGCCGGUGCUCUGGCACCUUUGCGUUUCCCAACAACCGAGCUAGACGUCCGCAACAACAACAACAAAAAAAAUCACUUCCGUUAGGGGAAGGCACGCCUUCCACGCUGCAACAUGGAGGCUGUCAGUAAGCUGAAUGAACCGGUUUCCGGGGAGCUGGUGUCUGUAGCACAUGCUCUUUCUCUCCCUGCAGAGUCUUAUGGCAAUGAUCCAGAUAUUGAGAUGGCCUGGGCCAUGAGAGCAAUGCAACACGCUGAAGUCUAUUACAAGGUAAAUCC
Molecule: long non-coding RNA, 278 nt
Organism: Dipodomys ordii (Ord's kangaroo rat)
Lineage: Eukaryota; Metazoa; Chordata; Mammalia; Rodentia; Heteromyidae
Exons: 3
Source: RefSeq, a predicted model, not a curated record